AGUGAACGCUGGCGGUAGGCCUAACACAUGCAAGUCGAACGGCCGCACAGUAAGAUCUUGCCCUUACGGUUGGCGAGGGGCGGACGGGUGAGGAAUACAUCGGAAUCUACUUUUUCGUGGGGGAUAACGUAGGGAAACUUACGCUACUACCGCAUACUACCUACGGGUGAAAGCAGGGGAUCUUCGGACCUUGCGCGAUUGAAUGAGCCGAUGUCGGAUUAGCUAGUUGGCGGGGUAAAGGCCCACCAAGGCGACGAUCCGUAGCUGGUCUGAGAGGAUGAUCAGCCACACUGGAACUGAGACACGGUCCAGACUCCUACGGGAGGCAGCAGUGGGGAAUAUUGGGCAAUGGGCGAAAGCCUGAUCGAGCAACACCGCGUGAGUGAAGAAGGCCUUCGGAUUGUAAAGCCCUGUUAUUAGGGAAGAAAAGCAGCGGGAUAAUACGCCGCUGUUCUGACGGUACCCAAAGAGUAAGCACCGGCUAACUUCGUG
This 492-nucleotide ribosomal RNA is filed under the name uncultured bacterium. Its description in RNAcentral is "partial 16S ribosomal RNA". It matches the Rfam family "Bacterial small subunit ribosomal RNA", at positions 29 to 507 of the family's 1533-position model. The record is from RNAcentral.